Long non-coding RNA from Alnus glutinosa, 375 nucleotides. RefSeq lists it as uncharacterized. NCBI's taxonomy places the organism in Eukaryota, Viridiplantae, Streptophyta, Magnoliopsida, Fagales, Betulaceae. The record is from RefSeq and is a predicted model, not a curated record. The transcript is spliced from 2 exons.
CUACCCAAUCAUGCAGUGGUCUAGCAGGUGGUGGCGUGAUUUUGGAGUUCGGUGGUUGGACCAUCGUUGAGUCAUGGAGGCAGCAACUAGGGGGUGGCUUCCGGUCCUGUUUCGGUACUCGGGUUGUAGUUGAUGGGGGUCGUAGACGUGCAUUUGGGAUAUUAUGACCGGAGCUCGCCGCGAUGGUCGUAAUUGCGGGACCAUGGGCGUCCUCAGUUUUAUAGGUUUUGUUAUGGCUUGUGACGCCUGUGUCACUUGUUUUUGUAUAAAGCCAACUUUGUUAUGUAUUUAUAUUGAGGAAAGACUUAAACACAUAGAUGGUAAAUGGCUCUUGUUAUUAAUUUAUGAUAGAUGUUUAAGAUGUGAUUUCCGCUA